GGGGGGAGCACAGGAUCCUGGGCUGUGUCCCCAGCGCCCAGGGCUCUGGAGCCUGCACCGCUGGAAUCUCGUUCCCAGGGCCACGGGGCCCCCU
This 94-nucleotide microRNA precursor is filed under the name Canis lupus familiaris (dog). RNAcentral's name for it is "mir-8799 microRNA precursor family". It matches the Rfam family "mir-8799 microRNA precursor family". Lineage: Eukaryota; Metazoa; Chordata; Mammalia; Carnivora; Canidae. RNAcentral also lists the same sequence under 1 other name. The record is from Rfam by way of RNAcentral.